This 404-nucleotide long non-coding RNA is filed under the name Zea mays. Its description in RNAcentral is "long non-coding RNA (ZMAY_LNC000673)". Lineage: Eukaryota; Viridiplantae; Streptophyta; Magnoliopsida; Poales; Poaceae. The record is from RNAcentral.
AGAAAGUCUGAGACGUGUCUUGAGAAGCCAUGGGGAAUGCGUGUGGCGAGCUGCGUCAGCGUGUGGUCUUCGUCCAGCUGCUGCAUCACCCUGAGACUGAGUUGCUUCUCUGCGUGGUCCGCCCCCUUCAUUUGAAGUGAAGGUACGUAUAUCUGAACAUUCAACGCAAGCCUGCAACACCAGAUUGAAGGACGAUGAAUGUUCAGAUAUUCAUCAUUCUAUUAAAGCAUCUCGAUCUGGGACAGAUGAUGAACCUGCACCUGUAUACUCCGUAUCCAACCCAUAUGGAACAGGACAUUGUCGAUGGUCCAUGUCAGUAAUCAGAUGACGAAACAAGCUGAAUGGAGGAACGAGCACACGCUUACAGCUCCAUGCUGGCGCCGCCGGCCGUGUGUGAAGUGAAC